RNAcentral lists this ribosomal RNA (397 nucleotides) under uncultured bacterium. Its description in RNAcentral is "partial 16S ribosomal RNA". It matches the Rfam family "Bacterial small subunit ribosomal RNA", at positions 360 to 775 of the family's 1533-position model. The record is from RNAcentral.
AAUAUUCCACAAUGGAGGAAACUCUGAUGCAGCGACGCCGCGUGAACGAUGAAGGNCUNNGGGUCNUNAAGUUCUGUCCUUGGNNNNNAUAAUGACGGUCCCCAAGGAGGAAUCCCCGGCUAACUACGUGCCAGCAGCCGCGGUAAUACGUAGGGGGCGAGCGUUGUCCGGAAUUAUUGGGCGUAAAGGGGUCGCAGGCGGUCCUUUAAGGCAGAUGUGAAAGCCCACGGCUCAACCGUGGUAAGCAUUUGAAACUGAAGGAAUUGAGUUAAGGAGAGGAAAGUGGAAUUCCUAGUGUAGCGGUGAAAUGCGUAGAUAUUAGGAGGAAUACCAGUGGCGAAGGCGACUUUCUGGACUUAUACUGACGCUGAGGAACGAAAGCGUGGGGAGCAAACAG